AAUGUUAAUCUCGAAGCAUUGAUUGCUAAGAAGAUAUUCAGUGAUAAUUCACUGUCACGAAAUUAUUCGAGACCUCUUGAGGAAAUGAUUGCCAGAAGAUAUUCAGUGUCACUGUCACGAGGACACCCUGGAGGCAGAACAGUGCCGUUCACUUCAGUGUCUAUUUCUGCAGAUAUUUGUUAGGUCACAGUGACCUAUUUUCAAUGAAAAGCAUGAACCAUAUUUUCGUUGUGACAUAGAAUUCCACCAUGAGACUUCAUAUUGGGUUUUAUAUACUGGUUAACCCUUGAAAAUAUUGCAGUUGAUAUUGAUAAUGUCAAGGUCACGUGUUCUCAAUAAUAAAAAUCGUUCAAUGUAGUUACAAUUAAUUGAAAUGACGAAGACCUACUAUAAGGUCUAAAUGACUAGGCAAUCAAAUGCAAUUUUCCAUAAUAAUCCCCCAAAUGUUUUCACGUCGAAGGUCAGCAUUCAUGUUUGUUUGUUUGUUUGUUUUUGUUAAGUGUAUUCUAGAUUCUCUGGACAUAGCACUGAAAAACAUUAAAAUGACACAAACCAAUUAAUUCCUAAGAUCGAUUGGUUGGCACGUCACUAGUUCAGCAAUUAUGAUUUUACAACCAGUUCUCAUCACCAGUUGUGGAUGGACGACGUCCUGAGGGUGGCGCUUUGAAGUGAUGAGGUUUUGAGUGACCUUCUAUGAAGAUAAAGGUCACUGGAUGGGUCUGUCUUAAGAGGUGAAGUUAUCAAACCAAGAGUGCUUGCAUUGACAGCUUGAGGCACAGGACUAAUUUCUACUGCAUUUGGCAACAUGAGUAUGAAUCACUUGAUCCACCAAGACUUGAACGAGCUGUGGAGGACAAGUAGUUGGUACCUGACAAAAGCCACUGUGAUGGGCAUUACUUGCACCGGGUACCACCUGGAAAACUCGCAGUUGUGCCCUGAGUGAUUGUGCACCGUCCUCUAAUCACUCGAACGUGAUGCCACACUUACAACUACUGUGGGACUAGGUGGUUUCAAUAUCAUACUUGUGAGGCUGACUUUCAUGAACUAUAGUGUCACGCCAUUUUUCUGUAUCAAACCAUGUAUAAUAAAAGUAUGAAAAAUCCA
Haliotis rufescens (red abalone) is the source of this 1104-nucleotide long non-coding RNA. RefSeq lists it as uncharacterized. The record is from RefSeq and is a predicted model, not a curated record. The transcript has 3 exons. NCBI's taxonomy places the organism in Eukaryota, Metazoa, Mollusca, Gastropoda, Lepetellida, Haliotidae.